GACCUAUGUGCAGGAAGUGUGCAUAUUGGGUGCAAUUGGUUGUAGUUUUAGUGAAUUAUAAUUUUUAUGAAGUAAAAUAAAGCCAACUUUAUAUUGCAUGCCUUGUCACAAUGUCACCCUCCACACUGAAAACAACAAAAGACCAAAA
Long non-coding RNA from Syngnathus acus (greater pipefish), 148 nucleotides. RefSeq lists it as uncharacterized. NCBI's taxonomy places the organism in Eukaryota, Metazoa, Chordata, Actinopteri, Syngnathiformes, Syngnathidae. The record is from RefSeq and is a predicted model, not a curated record. The transcript has 2 exons.